UACGUAGGUGGCAAGCGUUAUCCGGAAUUAUUGGGCGUAAAGAGGGAGCAGGCGGCAGCAAAGGUCUGUGGUGAAAGACUGAAGCUUAACUUCAGUAAGCCAUAGAAACCGGGCAGCUAGAGUGCAGGAGAGGAUCGCGGAAUUCCAUGUGUAGCGGUGAAAUGCGUAGAUAUACGGAGGAACACCAGUGGCGAAGGCGACGAUCUGGCCUGCAACUGACGCUCAGUCCCGAAAGCGUGGGGAGCAAAUAGG
This 252-nucleotide ribosomal RNA is filed under the name uncultured bacterium. Its description in RNAcentral is "partial 16S ribosomal RNA". It matches the Rfam family "Bacterial small subunit ribosomal RNA", at positions 524 to 776 of the family's 1533-position model. The record is from RNAcentral.